Molecule: unclassified non-coding RNA, 639 nt
Filed under: Hevea brasiliensis (rubber tree)
Lineage: Eukaryota; Viridiplantae; Streptophyta; Magnoliopsida; Malpighiales; Euphorbiaceae
Source: RNAcentral
GUUUAAGUAUUUUAAGGAACUGAUGAAAUAGGCAGCAUUAAGAACACCACAACCAGAUGAAACAGCCAACUAAAAACAGCCUCACACGGUAUCGUAAUCAACCAAGUUUUGCAGUAGUAAUUGUAACGCGGGUGCCAAUCUCUCAUUAGACUAAUAAAUUACUGCUUUUCUAGAUUUAGAUCUAGAUGUACAGAGGGAUGAAAAAAUACAGAGAGUUGUCCCACCAGUGACUACAAAAACACCCAAAAGGAAUAAGAAGCCCAUCUUUUUGCCCCAGUAGGGGAGAAGAAACAAACAAAAACUUAGCUAGCAUAUUCUUAGAUAAACGAACAGCAUAAUCACAUGCAUACACAUGCACAUUGAUAUCCAGUAUCAAUCGUGGCACCCUACCCCACCUAAGCAACAACCAUCUUGCCCACACUUUUGCAUCUUCAACCCCACAAAAGCAUCAAGCUUGAAAUCAAGAGGGCUACAAUAACGGAGAACCAGCUACUGUUUGGAAGUCUGAACCCACCAUCACUGAUGUCUGUGUUUAUUCCAGCUCCUGUUGGACUUACACCGUUGCCUAUGCCUCCCAAGACUCCAUUGGAAGGGGUUGUAGUGUAUGGAGUAGUAGUGGUUGGUGUGGUAUUGGUCGGG